GGUGAAAAGCCCGCUCGCCGGAAGACCAAGGGUUCCUGUCCAACGUUAAUCGGGGCAGGGUGAGUCGACCCCUAAGGCGAGGCCGAAAGGCGUAGUCGAUGGGAAACAGGUUAAUAUUCCUGUACUUGGUGUUACUGCGAAGGGGGGACGGAGAAGGCUAUGUCAGCCGGGCGACGGUUGUCCCGGUUUAAGCAUGUAGGCGGAGGUUCCAGGUAAAUCCGGUACCUUUUAACGCUGAGGUGUGAUGACGAGGCACUACGGUGCUGAAGUGAUAAAUGCCCUGCUUCCAGGAAAAGCCUCUAAGCAUCAGGUAACACGAAAUCGUACCCCAAACCGACACAGGUGGUCAGGUAGAGAAUACCAAGGCGCUUGAGAGAACUCGGGUGAAGGAACUAGGCAAAAUGGUGCCGUAACUUCGGGAGAAGGCACGCUGAUGUGUAGGUGAAGCCCCUGCGGGCGGAGCUGAAAUCAGUCGAAGAUACCAGCUGGCUGCAACUGUUUAUUAAAAACACAGCACUGUGCAAACACGAAAGUGGACGUAUACGGUGUGACGCCUGCCCGGUGCCGGAAGGUUAAUUGAUGGGGUUAGCGGCAACGCGAAGCUCUUGAUCGAAGCCCCGGUAAACGGCGGCCGUAACUAUAACGGUCCUAAGGUAGCGAAAUUCCUUGUCGGGUAAGUUCCGACCUGCACGAAUGGCGUAAUGAUGGCCAGGCUGUCUCCACCCGAGACUCAGUGAAAUUGAACUCGCUGUGAAGAUGCAGUGUACCCGCGGCAAGACGGAAAGACCCCGUGAACCUUUACUAUAGCUUGACACUGAACACUGGUCCUUGAUGUGUAGGAUAGGUGGGAGGCUUUGAAGCGUGGACGCCAGUCUGCGUGGAGCCAACCUUGAAAUACCACCCUUUAAUGGCUGGUGUUCUAACGUAGACCCGUAAUCCGGGUUGCGGACAGUGUCUGGUGGGUAGUUUGACUGGGGCGGUCUCCUCCCAAAGAGUAACGGAGGAGCACGAAGGUUGGCUAAUCCUGGUCGGACAUCAGGAGGUUAGUGCAAUGGCAUAAGCCAGCUUGACUGCGAGCGUGACGGCGCGAGCAGGUGCGAAAGCAGGUCAUAGUGAUCCGGUGGUUCUGAAUGGAAGGGCCAUCGCUCAACGGAUAAAAGGUACUCCGGGGAUAACAGGCUGAUACCGCCCAAGAGUUCAUAUCGACGGCGGUGUUUGGCACCUCGAUGUCGGCUCAUCACAUCCUGGGGCUGAAGUAGGUCCCAAGGGUAUGGCUGUUCGCCAUUUAAAGUGGUACGCGAGCUGGGUUUAGAACGUCGUGAGACAGUUCGGUCCCUAUCUGCCGUGGGCGCUGGAGAAUUGAGGGGGGCUGCUCCUAGUACGAGAGGACCGGAGUGGACGCAUCACUGGUGUUCGGGUUGUCAUGCCAAUGGCACUGCCCGGUAGCUAAAUGCGGAAGAGAUAAGUGCUGAAAGCAUCUAAGCACGAAACUUGCCCCGAGAUGAGUUCUCCCUGAGACUUUAAGUCUCCUGAAGGAACGUUGAAGACGACGACGUUGAUAGGUCGGGUGUGUAAGCGCAGCGAUGCGUUGAGCUAACCGAUACUAAUGAACCGUGAGGCUUAACCUU
Molecule: ribosomal RNA, 1628 nt
Filed under: Enterobacter cloacae
Lineage: Bacteria; Pseudomonadati; Pseudomonadota; Gammaproteobacteria; Enterobacterales; Enterobacteriaceae
Also listed under: 1 other name
Description: bacterial LSU rRNA
Rfam family: Bacterial large subunit ribosomal RNA
Source: RNAcentral